RNAcentral lists this signal recognition particle RNA (312 nucleotides) under Haloquadratum sp. J07HQX50. Its description in RNAcentral is "Archaeal signal recognition particle RNA". It matches the Rfam family "Archaeal signal recognition particle RNA". The record is from Rfam by way of RNAcentral. Lineage: Archaea; Methanobacteriati; Methanobacteriota; Halobacteria; Halobacteriales; Haloferacaceae.
UAAUGGAAUAGGUCGGGCAGUUAGGCCCUGCUCAGCACCUGUAAUGUAGGCCUUUAACAGGGACCGAAUGUGAGGGCGUCCGGUCAGACCAACGCGGGCCCCACAAGCCAACUGAGAAACCUCGUCCUUCGGGGGCGGCGGUUCGCUGAUGCCUGCCGCAGGGCACGGACUGAAGUGAUUCGUCGCCAGCACCCCGUCAGGCGCGGAAGCGAGCAGCGGACUGGUGAACGUGCGUCGCUCGAAGGGUCGCGGGGUGGAGGAGGCAACUGGGACUCCCCGUGGCGGAACGCCGGGCAAUCUCGAUUUCCACUU